UUUUUACACUGUUCGACUGCGAUGACUGAGGAAUCCACACUGAUUUCCGUUUUUGUCGUUCUUUGUUUCUUCUCUUCGACAACGUUGUCAAUUUUACAUAUGAUAUCUGAUGACUGUUGUGCCGAAACAGAUUCUGGUGAUUCCAAUGCCUCGACAAUUUCCAACUGUUCUGUUGUCAUUUGUUUAAUUUUCUCCUUUUUAUCAACGAGGUCGUCAGAUAUGGUUGGCUUUUCAUCUGGAGUGAAUGCUGAAGUUUGGUGGAUUUCGGUUUCAGCACUGAAGGGCUGGACAACAUCUGUUUUUACAGAAAGAAUUUCAGUUUUCUCGUCAGAAGUUGGACUAGACGAUUCCUGAUUCUGAAUAAACACCUCUUCUAUUUUUUGAGAUAUCGUGUCUUCCAUCAGUUCACUUGGCAAUGUCUCCGCAAUCGCUUCGAUGUCAUAUUGUUGCUGGGAAGGAGUUUCUUCUGGUCCUUCUGGAACUUGUUCUUUACCAAGUGAUUUGAAAGGUCAUCUCGUGCGAUUGUUUCCAACUUCAUUGCAGAAACUUCUUUCGGACUCGCAUCUUUGUCUUGUCGUGGAGCCCCUUGCUUUUUGACCGGCUUUAAAGUGACUUUUUCCACUUGAAAUGAGGCCAGUUCUCGUUUUGGAAGAGCUUUGGCUUUCUUUAGCGGUUUGGUAGUUGUGGGUGUAACUUCAGCCGUUUCAGUGCCUUCUAAUUUGAUAGUUUCCUGACUCCUCACUGGAACGUCUUUCUCAGACGGUUGGCCGAUUUCAGCAAUAGCAGAAGGCGAGAACUCGUUCUUUGGAGUCGGCCAUGUUGGUUCGGUAGUCAUUUCGACCGUUUCAUGUGUAUUUUUCUUCUUUUUCGUCUUUCGUUCCUUCUUAAGCUCACGGAUUUCAACCACAUCAUCAAUCACCACCUGCAUCACCGAAGGAAUGGAUCCCAACUGGAUUUCCGAUGAUACCUGCUUCGACGAAAUGUGCAUCCGGUUUUUCAUCUUUACUUUCCAACAUUUCAUCCAGUUCUAGUGUACUGGCUGAGGGGAUGGAUUGUUCAUUGGAAACUUCACUUACAUGGACGGAAAUAGCACUUGUUUUGUCAAGCCUUUCAAUCUUCAAUUGUUCUUCCGUUCGCCUCGUCUGUCACAUCAGUCUGUUCCAGUCCAUGGAAUUCGGUGACAAAUGUUUCUUGAGCAACGGUCGCUUUUUUCAAGGUCGAAACUACGCAAACGCUUUGCAUUUGCGUUUCGUGUUCGUGAUCGGAACCUUCCUUGUCCGAAGAAGACGUCGAAUCGGAAUAUUUCUUCUUGCUGCUUGAUCUGUGGAACAUCCAUCCAAGACUUUUCUGCUUCUGGAACUUGAUUUGGUUUCACGACAGCCUCGAAAGUUGUUUUGACAGUGCCAUCUUCAUAAACGGAGCUUUCUUUAUCGGAGGCAGAACUCAAUUGAACAUCAAUUCUGUCUUCAAUAGUCUUUUUGACGCCAGUAUUGUGGAAUCGACAGUUACCGACUCAUCAUCUCCAGAAAGCGAAAUCUCUUCUAGGGAGUCUGUUGGCGAGGUCGUUUCUUGUGCUGGAUGGGUUUGCAUAAUCUCUAUCGUCGUAACUCCAGAAGGUGUUGGAAUAUCAAGUGCAACUUUAUGUUCUGGAAUGGGUUCAUUUUCCACAGAAUCGGAGGAAUCGAGUGCGGAUUCUUUCGAUAAUUCCAAAUGAGAUUCGCCGCUCUUGUGAGGUAACUUUGAAUGCUCAUCGCGUUUAUCCUCUAACUGAGUCAUUUCUUUUCUGAAUUCAUUUGCCUGUGGAACGGUGGUCUCCGUCGAGAUUUCCUCAACCGAUUGCGGCGCAUCUGGUGCCGGAUAGUUGACCAACUCGUGUUGUUCUGACGAUUCGCUGACCCUUUUCAGCUUGGGCGUCACGCGGACGGUGGCCUGUGACGUCUGAACUUCUCGGAUAGGCGACGUCUCUUCCGUCACCAAAACGGGACUGCCCGUGCAAACGAUAACGGAGGUACGUCGGUGAGCUUCAUCUGGGGGAACGACUUCUACGCUACUGACGUCGUAUUCGCCCACUAUAUCCUGCGCUUCCUGCCCAACAAGGGGCUGGACGAUCCAUGGAAACUGUUCCAAUAUCGCUGUUGAUUGCCCGGAGGGUAUAUUAUCAUCGCUCACUUUGUUGGACGUGAUUGGCAUGGGAAUUUCGUCUGGAUACGAUGUUUCCAUUUCUUCGAUGCUAACGGUCGUUUUGCUUGGCACUUCCGGCGAAAUCACAAAUACGCCCGGCUGAUCCUCUAACUGGAUGGGAAUGAAUCGCUCUUUUGGAAUAUUAGACGCUUUCUGUUCCUCAUCCGGAAGGGAAAUGAUGGGAAUGCUUUCUUCGACGUUACUUGCUGUUGGAGACGCUUCGUUUUCCAACAUUUCGCUAAUCCGCAAAUCAGACAAUUGUUUGAUCAAUGGCUGCGGUGUUGAAACAUCUUUUUCGGUUGUUUUACUUUCACGAACGAUUUUACUCUCCCCGCCACGUUUCAAUACGGUGAUUGUUUCCUCAACGGAACGACCUUGAACUCUAACCUGACUACUGCGGAUUUCAAAUGAAAUGGGUCGCUCGAUUGCAGCGCCAACUGGUGUUGGCAGGUUUACCACGAUAUCGGGCGUGUCUUCGAUCCUAGCACUCGUAUCGACGAGUGGCCUAACGACUUGAGAUUUCGAUUGCAAAUUUCCUACGUUUAACGAAGAAAUAUCAUCCGGUUGAUCGGAUGAUUCGGGUCUAACAUCUGCCAAUUCGGGGCAAAGAGUUGGGAAAAAGGUCAAAUGAGAUGUGUGAUCGUCUGUAUCCGCUGGACGAGGAAGCAAAUCGUGUGUUGUUGUCGCACUGAGUUGUGUUGGUGACGGUGUCGUGAAGAAGAGUGUCGUGUUGCGUGUAUCCGGUACAGGAGAUUCUAAAGAAAUUGACACGUCGAAUACCACAUCAACGAUCGCAUCUACUACUUAUAUAGGUCUGAUUUAAAACAUCAGGUAAUGUCCCAGAGCAAAGUAUGUACAAACGAAUUUCCGAAACUGAAAUGUGUGCCCAAACUGAAAAAGUUAAGAAAUCAAAGCGAAUAUGGAUGGAAAAUAAAAUGAGAUGGUAUCCAAGCUUCAUUCUUACGUUAUGAUUGGAAUGCAUAUCGUUGGCGCGAACCCUUGCUUGUGAUGUAUAACGUGUUAUCCGUAUCGAAAACGGAUUCUGGUAUAUGUUUUUUGAAUGUUUCUCUUUUUGUUCGUGUCAUGCCGUGUUAAGUGUGUGCAUUUUGGAACCGAAUAAAAAUAGGCUCUGUUGAUAAUUGAGCAAAUAAUGUCAAGCAAAAGUUGGUCGUUUCUGGCCAGGAUGAAGCAGAAACAAACGAAAAAAAAACGUAAAAGUUGGAUUCUUGGCUGAGGCGGAAGACAGGAGCGAUGUAACAAAAUUUUAAAUGAAAAAAAAAUUAUAUAGAAAUAAAUGUUAUUCUUGUUGUUUAAGGAAACUAAAAUUCGUUUAAAGGAUGUCUUGGCUUUGGUUUAAGAAACAAAAAAACAGAAUAAACGUAGACUUACUGCUA
RNAcentral lists this long non-coding RNA (3575 nucleotides) under Daphnia magna. Its description in RNAcentral is "uncharacterized LOC116929179, transcript variant X6". The record is from RNAcentral. Lineage: Eukaryota; Metazoa; Arthropoda; Branchiopoda; Diplostraca; Daphniidae.